GGUAUUGUAUACAACAGACCAUUAACUUUUAAUAAGUUGAUGGAGGAAGUCCGUUCACCUUUAAAACUGAAGUGCAGUAAUGCAUUGCUGUAAAAGGCAGGCAACUGAGCAGAAACGAUACCUGUUUUCAGUGCAAAGAGAUGAUGCGAAAGCUGAUUGCUGAAAAUAGGAUGAAACGGCAGACCUUCAUGGUGCAAACCGGUAUUCCGGCGCUUAGUCGAAUGUUGUUGCAUCCAACUGAGAAGCCUUUGAACAAAGGCAGAGGGAUGACAAAAAACGGGCUAUUCAAUACC
Molecule: non-coding RNA, 293 nt
Organism: Candidatus Parvarchaeum acidophilus ARMAN-5
Lineage: Archaea; Nanobdellati; Candidatus Parvarchaeota
Source: Rfam